This is a regulatory RNA element of Drosophila busckii, 85 nucleotides long. It matches the Rfam family "R2 RNA element", at positions 89 to 205 of the family's 212-position model. From Rfam's summary of the family: This family represents the 3' UTR region of the R2 retrotransposable element. This family is known to interact with the R2-encoded reverse transcriptase in a reaction known as target primed reverse transcription (TPRT). The record is from Rfam. NCBI's taxonomy places the organism in Eukaryota, Metazoa, Arthropoda, Insecta, Diptera, Drosophilidae.
GGGGGGUUUUUAGUACGUAGGCAAUUAGUUGAAUCGUGCAUGCUACUGGUACGGGCCAGUAGUAUCUUUAGAAGAUUUUCCCCCC